UCUCCACUUUUCUGUUGGUCUAUUUUAGUCCGCCAUUUUUUUACUUCGGGAAGCGUGUAGUUCAGAGUGGUGUGUUGUCGUGCUUUUUUACAGAAAUACUGACUUGGUUCUAGAACGAGCCGAAAAUGCCAGGUUUUAGUAGCGUUGGCACGUUUAAAAUCUUUAUCGGCAAUUUAGCCGACAAGACGUCGAAUGCUGAUAUUAAACCGUUGUUCGAGAAGUACGGAAAGGUUGUAGAAUGCGACGUGGUGAAAAAUUAUGGAUUUGUGCAUAUGGAAAACGAAGAGGCAGGGAGAAACGCGAUACAAAAUUUGAAUGGACAAAUAGUUCAUGGGCAGCCAAUUAAAUGCGAGGCUGCGAAGAGUCGUAAGGGGCCAAACACUCCUACGACAAAAAUAUUUGUUGGCAAUCUCACAGAUAAUACGAAAGCCCCGCAAGUGCGGGAACUUUUCGCUAAAUACGGCACAGUUGUAGAAUGUGAUAUUGUGAGAAAUUACGGCUUCGUUCAUCUCGAAGCAACAGGUGAUGUGAACGACGCUAUCAAGGAACUGAACGGACAAAUGGUAGAUGGUCAACCAAUGAAAGUUCAGAUUUCUACGAGCAGAGUACGACAGAGGCCAGGAAUGGGAGAUCCUGAACAAUGCUAUCGAUGCGGCCGCGGCGGUCAUUGGUCCAAGGAAUGUCCGAAAGGAGGAAUGGGAGGAGGUCCGGAUAGAAACGGAUACAGGGACCGAAUGUUUGGACGCGACCCGUACCCUCCACCGCCGCCACCACCGUUCCUUCGGGAUCGGUUAAUGGGUGGUGGCCGCUUUGGAGACUACGAAAGCUACUAUGACAGAAGGGGCUUCGAGGACACCAGGGAUCUCUACGAGAGGCGGUUUACGGGUAUGACAGGGCCCUGUGACAUGGGAAGUUCCAUGUGCGGGCUUGACUUUCCACCAAUGACAAUGCCACCUCUACCCCCAAGACGAGACCCAAUGCCUCCUAUGCCUCCUCUAGGUAUGGGAUCCAUGCGCGACACCGGCUUCUCCCGUGGCAACGAGUAUGGCAUGUUCAGCCGCCGAUCACCCCCUCCAAGUGGCAACAACGGCCGGUUCAGUGCACCUCAGGCUGCGUACCAUCUUUGUCCAUGAACGCGGGCAACCCUAGAGAGACAGUCCCGGGCCAACGUUCAAGUCGUGCAAGAACCGGGAUUACGAGGGCCAUCGCCGUCGCGCCGGUUCGCACCAUACUAAAUCGUCGCGUCGGGCUCGGAUCGGUCUCGGAUCGGUCUCUGUGUCUCUGUCGGGUCUGUCGGGUCUGUCUCUGUGUGUCGCUAGCAGGAAGCCUCGGGACCGAGAUACUCUUGGCCGUCUAUCGAUCUGCACGCGCGAAGAUCUACUACCCAUUCGGCCGCUCUAGCGGAAUCGGAACAUGUAUUUCCCUCUUUGCUAUAUGCGCCAUUUACACGGAAUAAGCGGAAAGAAAAAGAAAGAAAAAAAGCAAAAUGUCUGGCGAAUUAAGCAGCAAACAAAACGAAAAUGAGUUCGAUCGAAUCGCAAGCUUUUCUUGCGCCCCUUUAUUUUACCUUUAUUUCCAGUUUUCCUAUUCCCGACACGUAAAAUUUUUCGUCGUCGUCGUCGUCGUCGUCGUCGUCGUCGCCGCCGCCAACAUCGUCUCCGUUGCCGCCAACGCCGUCGUCGUCGUCGUCGUCAUCGUCCUCGUCCUCGUCGUUGUCGUCCCCUUCGACUUCGACUUCGACUUCGUCGUCGUCGUCGUCGUCGUCGUCGUCGUCGUCGUCGUCGUCGUCGUCGUCGUCAUCGUCUUCGCCUUCGCCGCCGUCACCGCAACCACCAUCACUUCCGGUAUCGUUGUAAUUCGCUGUUCGACACCUGCCGUGUCCCGUUACCACCCCUCGCUCACCCAUCACCAAACGUGUCCUUUCUAUUCUCAUCGCUCAUACCUGAUCUCGUUCGUCCCAAAAGUGCGUGAAAUUAGGCGUCUACAUCGUAUUUUAUUUAGUAUCGAGUCGAUGGGUUCGUUUUCUCGAUGUAAGAAACCGGCAUCCUCCUACCGACAUGCAAUUUUUCGACUCGUAAUAGACUUUUUUAUCGAAAGUGGUGCAAGGGUUUGCAAACGAGAACAAAGAAGAAAUUGGAAAAAUCAUUUUGGUAGGACGAUGCUUACGACGACGAUACGUACCAUGUGAUUUUAAUGCUCGUUUUUUGUGACGAUGACGAGCGCGCGCGUCCACGCCAACUCCCAUAUACACAGAAAUGCACACGUGCCGUUGUCGCUUCGAUAGGGUUACUUUUUUUUUCUUUCUUUUUUUGGACGAGACAAUUCAGUCGACCGAAACCGUACGCGAAAAUGUAAAUUCUCGGUGACGGAAUGUUUCUAUCGACGAGCGGUCGAUCGAUGUAAGCGUGCGUCGGCGGUCGCGUUUGAAAAGCAUCGAAAUAGCAUAACCCACCUUUUUCGCGUCGUGACCACGCAAAAAUCGGAUGGUCGUGUGAAUGUAUAGUUUGGAGAGCGCGCGUUAGUUCAGUCGCGAUCGUCGGACGUUUCGCGGCUCGACUUCGUACGGACUUCCUUUCCCGAUGAGUUUGAUCAAACGUAAUUGUAAAAGAAAAGACGGCUUUUUGUUUAAAUCAUUGCACAGAUCAAGUAUAAGCUACGUUUGCUGCUUACCGUUUCUAGACAUAAUCGACACGAACAAGAACGUACUGCGCGUGACCGAUCAAUCGUAAUUUUUUCGCUGCUUGACGUUCAACAUUUUCUUCCUUUACGUGGCAUAUAUAUAUAUAUAUAUGUAUGUAUAUGUAUAUGUAUAUGUAUAUGUAUAUGCAGACAGUCUAUCUAUAUCGUUAGCGCCACCAAACUCGUAUUAUUAAAUCAAUACGAAAAAAAAAAACAAAAAAAAAACGUAACACGCGAAUAAAGAAACAGAGAGAACGUGAAAUACGUAUAUCGUGUUCAGCUUCCACUAAGAUUUCUAAUAAUUAUCCCUCCGUCGAAAACGAAAGGAGGAAAAAGCGUGCGGGUUUUAUCGUUUGAACUGCUGAUCAUCGAUUAGGAUGAGCGUACUUGAAAAAUUCCGAUUCCAAAUACGAAAAUACACGGUAGAUUGGUAGGAUGCGUCGAUUCUGUAUGGGAAGUCAACUGGGUCGUGCGAACAUUAUAUCGUUAGCCUGUAGUCACGUAAUAUCGUUUUAUUAACAUAUUAGAAUUAAUUAAAAUAAAAAGUUAACUGAUGAUUAAUAUACGGUAAUCGCAACUGCGCUCCGUUUAGCUUACGCAUACGUACGUGUAUAUCGACGAUCACCGUUUCUAGUUUCAAGCAGCGUGUAUAGAUACACGUUUACCGUGUAAUAACUUUUAUUCUCGUUUUCUGUUUAGCCUUUUUUCUCUCUCGUUUCUUUCAUAAUACGACCUGUUUUUUUCAUGAUAAUUACAUUAAUAAUAAUCAUACUGAUAAUGGAUAAAGAAACCAAUGUAAUAAGAACAAUGUACUUGUGGAAUUCACAAAAAAAAACGGCGUUUCGUGUUCUUUAAUCAUGAA
Molecule: RNA transcript, 3541 nt
Organism: Osmia bicornis bicornis
Lineage: Eukaryota; Metazoa; Arthropoda; Insecta; Hymenoptera; Megachilidae
Gene: lark
Gene name: RNA-binding protein lark
Exons: 6
Source: RefSeq, a predicted model, not a curated record